CCUACGGGGGGCAGCAGUGAGGAAUAUUGGUCAAUGGACGAGAGUCUGAACCAGCCAAGUAGCGUGAAGGAUGACUGCCCUAUGGGUUGUAAACUUCUUUUAUAUGGGAAUAAAAUGUUCCACGUGUGGGAUUUUGUAUGUACCAUAUGAAUAAGGAUCGGCUAACUCCGUGCCAGCAGCCGCGGUAAUACGGAGGAUCCGAGCGUUAUCCGGAUUUAUUGGGGUUAAAGGGAGCGUAGGUGGAUUGUUAAGUCAGUUGUGAAAGUUUGCGGCUCAACCGUAAAAUUGCAGUUGAAACUGGCAGUCGUGAGUACAGUAGAGGUGGGCGGAAUUCGUGGUGUAGCGGUGAAAUGCUUAGAUAUCACGAAGAACUCCGAUUGCGAAGGCAGCUCACUGGACUGCAACUGACACUGAGGCUCGAAAGUGUGGGUAUCAAACAGGAUUAGAUACCCCUGUAGUC
This 460-nucleotide ribosomal RNA is filed under the name uncultured bacterium. Its description in RNAcentral is "partial 16S ribosomal RNA". It matches the Rfam family "Bacterial small subunit ribosomal RNA", at positions 338 to 795 of the family's 1533-position model. The record is from RNAcentral.